AGCGACCCUGCCCAUACCUGUGGGGAUAGCCGGCCCAACGGCCGGGUAAUACCGCAUACGAUCGUUUGGGGCAUCCCUGGACGACGAAAGCUCGUAAGAGCGCAGGAUGAGGGGCUCGCGGCCUAUCAGCUAGUUGGCGGGGUAAUGGCCCACCAAGGCGAUGACGGGUAGCUGGUCUGAGAGGAUGGCCAGCCACAUUGGGACUGAGAGACGGCCCAG
Molecule: ribosomal RNA, 219 nt
Filed under: uncultured bacterium
Lineage: Bacteria
Description: partial 16S ribosomal RNA
Rfam family: Bacterial small subunit ribosomal RNA
Source: RNAcentral